AGAGGCUUAGGUUAGCAUCUCCAGACCAGGGGCCUUCAAAGCCCCCAGCGGGAGUGAAAAUCUCCCAGCCCCUG
This 74-nucleotide transfer RNA is filed under the name Gnathodentex aureolineatus (striped large-eye bream). Its description in RNAcentral is "tRNA-Trp". It matches the Rfam family "tRNA". From Rfam's summary of the family: Transfer RNA (tRNA) molecules are approximately 80 nucleotides in length. Their secondary structure includes four short double-helical elements and three loops (D, anti-codon, and T loops). Lineage: Eukaryota; Metazoa; Chordata; Actinopteri; Spariformes; Lethrinidae. The record is from RNAcentral.